AAGGACAGCGCCCGCCACGCUCCGCGAGCGGCAGGAGGCACGCGCCGGCCUCCGCCCUCUAGUAGCUAAGCGAGCUGGGGCGUUCCCGCCCCGCCCGCCAAGGAGGGAGGGGCGAAGCGGCGCUGCCGCCCCGCCCGCAGUGAGUGCCAGAGCGAAGCGAGCCGGGCUGCUUUUCUGCUCUCCGCGCGCGGCUGGUACGGCCGGGAGGGUCGGUCCGCACCAAGGAACAUCUGUGUUGUCUUUGGUGUCAUGAUGCAGGUGUGCAUCAUUAAGCAUAAAAAGGAGAAAGCCAGAUCAUAGCAGAGAUUAUGGUGAUCCACAAUGUA
Grus americana (Whooping crane) is the source of this 326-nucleotide long non-coding RNA. RefSeq lists it as uncharacterized. The record is from RefSeq and is a predicted model, not a curated record. Lineage: Eukaryota; Metazoa; Chordata; Aves; Gruiformes; Gruidae. The transcript is spliced from 3 exons.